This 73-nucleotide transfer RNA is filed under the name Prevotella sp. Its description in RNAcentral is "tRNA-Gly". It matches the Rfam family "tRNA". Rfam says of the family: Transfer RNA (tRNA) molecules are approximately 80 nucleotides in length. Their secondary structure includes four short double-helical elements and three loops (D, anti-codon, and T loops). Further hydrogen bonds mediate the characteristic L-shaped molecular structure. tRNAs have two regions of fundamental functional importance: the anti-codon, which is responsible for specific mRNA codon recognition, and the 3' end, to which the tRNAs corresponding amino acid is attached (by aminoacyl-tRNA synthetases). tRNAs cope with the degeneracy of the genetic code in two manners: having more than one tRNA (with a specific anti-codon) for a particular amino acid; and 'wobble' base-pairing, i.e. permitting non-standard base-pairing at the 3rd anti-codon position. Lineage: Bacteria; Pseudomonadati; Bacteroidota; Bacteroidia; Bacteroidales; Prevotellaceae. The record is from RNAcentral. RNAcentral also lists the same sequence under 3 other names.
GCGGCAAUAGCUCAGUUGGUAGAGCAUCGGCUUCCCAAGCCGAGGGUCGCGGGUUCGAGUCCCGUUUGCCGCU